GGGUAUUGUGAAAGGGCACUAAACAAAACCUUGGUUUCGGACCCUAUUCUAUGAUUUUUAAUUGCUGUUACUGAUGCCAAUGCCCUUAGUGUCAUGCAACAGUUUUAGCAUCUACUUGUAUGAAUUAACAUGUUUAGUCUUGUUCAAUCAUCUCUUCUUCUCCUAUAUCCACCAGCUUUGGAAUAUUCUACGGCUUUGCACAUGGACAGGACUAGAAUCUUGGUGGUAAGAAAGUAAAUUAAACUGAAUUAUUUUGGGAAGAUGGUUCUUGUGUUACUAUAUUGGCUGGUGGCACUAGUGGUACUAGAGCUCGAGGUGGCAACUCGAAUGUGCAUAGCCUGAUUUUGAGGUAGUUUGACGGCAUGUCCAUGCCAGGCACCCUGAAGUAGCCCGGCUUGCACACGUAUAUUAAGGGUUAGUUCUUUUCUUGAUAUACAUAGCCAAUAAACCAUUUGACUCUUUUUUCGAUACGAAGAUCUGGUCAAAAGUUAUUUUAGAAAAUUUGACUGCUCGACAUAGUCUAGGUGGGCAAUUGGGACCUACAAUCCAGCAAGACUCCAGUGUAAGUAUAGAUCGAAAUAUUGUGACUGGGCCAUCCCAAGUCUAGACAAUGUUACACGUUCAAAAACCUUAAGUAGAAUAUGGAUAUGCUUUUACUUCAUAGAAAUAUGUUACAAAUGCCUUUGAAAGUAAAUUAUCUUUAAAAUGAUCCAAGAUGUAUACAAAUACCUAUGUUCGUUCGUGUAAAAUUAUUAAUAAUUUUUUAGGAUAAAAAGCAGUGAGUUCAACGAAAUAUUUCCUAUCAAUCAAUUUAAGGUGUGUUUGGGCAGCCACAUUGAUGGAAAUAAGAAUGAUGACGAACCGUCGAGGAAGAAUAAGCGUGGUGAUGGUGGUUGAGGGCAUCAGUGAUAGUGGUGGUUGUUUGGCUGUUCAUGGUGGGAGUGGAUUAAUGUUUGAUUCGAAACUAGUUUGCUAGUUUGAAUAAAGCUCUGAUACUAUAUAGAAAUUAGCGAAAAUUGUGAUUUCGUGAGAAAGCCUAGUUAUUUGCACUAAAUUAGUGUUACACGGUAUGUUGUAAACGGUACUUAACUAAGAUAAAUUUACUAUACACACAUUAUCU
RNAcentral lists this long non-coding RNA (1120 nucleotides) under Olea europaea (common olive). RNAcentral describes it as "long non-coding RNA (OEUR_LNC004056)". Lineage: Eukaryota; Viridiplantae; Streptophyta; Magnoliopsida; Lamiales; Oleaceae. The record is from RNAcentral.